GAUGAAGAACGUAGCGAAAUGCGAUACGUAAUGUGAAUUGCAAAUUCAGUGAAUCAUCGAGUCUUUGAACGCACAUUGCGCCCCCUGGUGUUCCGGGGGGCAUGCCUGUCCGAGCGUCAUUGCUGCCCUCAAGCACGGCUUGUGUGUUGGGCCCCGUCCUCCGAUCCCGGGGGACGGGCCCGAAAGGCAGCGGCGGCACCGCGUCCGGUCCUCGAGCGUAUGGGGCUUUGUCACCCGCUCUGUAGGCCCGGCCGGCGCUUGCCGAUCAACCCAAAUUUUUUAUCCAGGUUGACCUCGGAUCAGGUAGGGAUACCCGCUGAACUUAAGCAUAUCAAUAAGCGGAGGA
RNAcentral lists this unclassified non-coding RNA (346 nucleotides) under soil metagenome. RNAcentral describes it as "partial contains 5.8S ribosomal RNA, internal transcribed spacer 2, and large subunit ribosomal RNA". The stretch from base 1 to 119 matches the Rfam family "5.8S ribosomal RNA", at positions 35 to 154 of the family's 154-position model. The record is from RNAcentral.